Molecule: ribosomal RNA, 480 nt
Filed under: uncultured bacterium
Lineage: Bacteria
Description: partial 16S ribosomal RNA
Rfam family: Bacterial small subunit ribosomal RNA
Source: RNAcentral
ACGAACGUUGGCGGCGUGCUUAAUACAUGCAAGUCAACUGAAGCAGUGGUAGCAAUAUCGCUGUGGAGGUGGCGCACGGGUGAGUAACACGUAGGUAAUCUGCCUUCAGGUCUGGCAUAACUCCGGGAAACCGGGGCUAAUAGCAGAUGAUGCAGCGGCUCGACAUCGAGACAGUUGUUAAAGCUAUGGCGCCUGAAGAUGAGCCUGCGUCUGAUUAGCUAGUUGGCGGGGUAACGGCCCACCAAGGCAACGAUCAGUAGCUGGUCUGAGAGGAUGAUCAGCCACACUGGAACUGAGACACGGGCCAGACUCCUACGGGAGGCAACAGUAAGGAAUAUUGCUCAAUGGGGGAAAUCCUGAAGCAGCAACGCCGCGUGAGGGACGAAGGGCUUUUGCUUGUAAACCUCUGUAGUGAGAGAAAAAAAUCCCAAUCUUUGGGACAUGAUGGUAUCUCAAAAGUAAGCCCCGGCUAACUACGUG